GUACAUUAAUCUGAAUAAUAAUGACUUUCUUUUAUUUCCAAUUCUACCAAAGAGGACAGCUAAAGAAGCAACCCAAAGUGAAAGACUUGAAGAAAUAUACUGGCAAUAAGACGCAAUCAUUUCAUGGCUAUACAGGAUGAUGACUAUGUAGCACUAUUUCAUAUCUAAGUGUAGUAUUUAUCAAUUAAUGUUAGUAGGACAGAAUAGAAGAGUUAUUUAAAUGGACAGUGGAUUUUGAUAUCAUGAAACCCAAUGUUGAAAAGCACUUCAAAACAGCUUGAAAUCAAUAUCAGCUCUAAGAAAGAUGGUUAGAGAGAGCUUCAACCAAGUCUGAUGCUUAAUCAUGAACUAAA
Mytilus trossulus (common blue mussel) is the source of this 353-nucleotide long non-coding RNA. RefSeq lists it as uncharacterized. The transcript has 3 exons. Lineage: Eukaryota; Metazoa; Mollusca; Bivalvia; Mytilida; Mytilidae. The record is from RefSeq and is a predicted model, not a curated record.